GGGUGAAAUCUAGAGUUGUUAAGUAAUGAAGUUUUAAUUUAAGAAAUUUUGAGGCUAUUAAGAUUUUGGUAUAAAACAGGAUUAGAUACCCUGCUAUAUUAGAUUGAAAUUAAAUCUCUUGAGUAGUAAUCAGUUAUGUUCUUGAAACUUAAAGGAUUUGGCGGUAUUUUAGUCUUGUUAGAGGAACCUGUUCUGUAAACGAUACACCACGAAUUAUCUUACUUUUUCUAGUAGUUCAGUUUGUAUACCGCCAUUAUUAGAUAGUUUUUAUAAAAUCUAUUAUAAUAGUCAUUGAGCUAAUAUAUUAGGUCAAGGUGCAGCUAAUGUGAAAGAAGUUAAUGGGUUACAAUAAUAUUAGUAUAUUACGGAUAAGAAACUUAAUGUUUUUUUGAAGGUGGAUUUAAUAGUAAAUUUAUUUUAAUAAGUUGUUUUGAUAAAAGCUCUAGAAUAUGUA
Molecule: ribosomal RNA, 454 nt
Filed under: Plesionika bifurca
Lineage: Eukaryota; Metazoa; Arthropoda; Malacostraca; Decapoda; Pandalidae
Description: 12S ribosomal RNA
Source: RNAcentral